CCUACGGGGGGCUGCAGUGAGGAAUAUUGGUCAAUGGGCGAGAGCCUGAACCAGCCAAGUCGCGUGAGGGAGUACUGCCCUAUGGGUUGUAAACCUCUUUUGUCGGGGAGCAAAAGCCGGACGUGUCCGGCUGUGAGAGUACCCGAAGAAAAAGCAUCGGCUAACUCCGUGCCAGCAGCCGCGGUAAUACGGGGGAUGCGAGCGUUAUCCGGAUUUAUUGGGUUAAAAGGGUGCGCAGGCGGAUUUUUAAGUCAGCGGUAAAAUCGUGGGGCUCAACCCCAUCCAGCCGUUGAAACUGGGGAUCUAGAGUGUGCGAGAGGUAUGCGGAAUGCGUGGUGUAGCGGUGAAAUGCAUAGAUAUCACGCAGAACCCCGAUUGCGAAGGCAGCAUACCGGUGCACAACUGACGCUCAGGCACGAAAGCGUGGGUAUCGAACAGGAUUAGAUACCCCUGUAGUC
Molecule: ribosomal RNA, 458 nt
Filed under: uncultured bacterium
Lineage: Bacteria
Description: partial 16S ribosomal RNA
Rfam family: Bacterial small subunit ribosomal RNA
Source: RNAcentral